Molecule: ribosomal RNA, 460 nt
Filed under: uncultured bacterium
Lineage: Bacteria
Description: partial 16S ribosomal RNA
Rfam family: Bacterial small subunit ribosomal RNA
Source: RNAcentral
CCUACGGGUGGCAGCAGUGAGGAAUAUUGGUCAAUGGACGGAAGUCUGAACCAGCCAUGCCGCGUGCAGGAAGACGGCUCAAUGAGUUGUAAACUGCUUUUGUACAAGGGUAAACCUGAAUACGUGUAUUCAGCUGAAAGUACUGUACGAAUAAGGAUCGGCUAACUCCGUGCCAGCAGCCGCGGUAAUACGGAGGAUCCAAGCGUUAUCCGGAUUUAUUGGGUUUAAAGGGUGCGUAGGCGGAUUGAUAAGUUAGAGGUGAAAUGUCCGAGCUUAACUCGGGAACUGCCUCUAAUACUGUUGGUCUAGAGAUGAGAUGCGGUAGGCGGAAUGUAUGGUGUAGCGGUGAAAUGCUUAGAGAUCAUACAGAACACCGAUUGCGAAGGCAGCUUACCAAUCUAUAUCUGACGUUGAGGCACGAAAGCGUGGGGAGCAAACAGGAUUAGAUACCCCAGUAGUC